RNAcentral lists this small nuclear RNA (79 nucleotides) under Daucus carota subsp. sativus. RNAcentral's name for it is "sRNA DCAR_sn00177". The record is from RNAcentral. Lineage: Eukaryota; Viridiplantae; Streptophyta; Magnoliopsida; Apiales; Apiaceae.
CCUCUAAAUGAUGAUAACUUGUAUAAGCUAUAGACUAUUGUCUAUGUGAAGCUUUUUGUCAUAGUUACUCUGAUAGGGA